UACGGAGGGGGCAAGCGUUACUCGGAAUUAUUGGGCGUAAAGGGCGCGUAGGCGGUCUCGUGCGUCGGAGGUGAAAUCCCCGGGCUUAACCCGGGAGCUGCCUCCGAUACGGCGGGACUUGCGUCCGGGAGAGGGGAGCAGAAUUCCCAGUGUAGCGGUGAAAUGUGUAGAUAUUGGGAGGAAUACCAGUGGCGAAGGCGGCUCCCUGGACCGGUACUGACGCUGAGGCGCGAAAGCGUGGGUAGCAAACAGG
RNAcentral lists this ribosomal RNA (253 nucleotides) under uncultured bacterium. RNAcentral's name for it is "partial 16S ribosomal RNA". It matches the Rfam family "Bacterial small subunit ribosomal RNA", at positions 524 to 776 of the family's 1533-position model. The record is from RNAcentral.